GCUCCUGUCGUCUAGUCCGGUCAAGGAUUCGAGCUUCUCGAGCUUGAGACGCGGGUUCAAAUCCCGCCGGGAGCA
RNAcentral lists this transfer RNA (75 nucleotides) under archaeon. RNAcentral's name for it is "tRNA-Glu". It matches the Rfam family "tRNA". Rfam says of the family: Transfer RNA (tRNA) molecules are approximately 80 nucleotides in length. Their secondary structure includes four short double-helical elements and three loops (D, anti-codon, and T loops). The record is from RNAcentral.